Homo sapiens (human) is the source of this 5031-nucleotide long non-coding RNA. RefSeq lists it as uncharacterized. Lineage: Eukaryota; Metazoa; Chordata; Mammalia; Primates; Hominidae. The transcript has 2 exons. The record is from RefSeq and is a predicted model, not a curated record.
UCAAAAAUGAUAAUAAUCUAAUCCUUAUUUGUUUAUGUUAUUAAUUUAAAUUAAUUUAAUUGUAAAUUAUUAACUUAAUACAUGCUCAUUGUAAAGUGCCCACCAGAGUGGAGACACAAAGACACGAAUUAAUUUGGGUGGGACACAUACACAUAACAGAAAUUGGGUUAUAUAUAUUAAGAAGUAAGUGAACAACCAGAGAGAAUGUAUUUUGGUACAUUUCAUUAGAACUUAUAAAUACUUAUACCUUAAUAUAAUAGUAAUAAUGAAUUAUUAGUAAGGGCUUACUUAUAUGUGCCUAGUUCUGUGUUAAAAACUUUUAAACUAUUAUCAACACAAGAAUGUUAUGACAUUGAUAUUUUAAUGAUCAUAUAACAUAUGUUAGUAUACCAAGUUCUUUGUCUACUGGUUUUCUUUGUGUGGCAUUAAAAUAUGUAUAAUAUUUUACUUGGCCAUUCCCCUGGAAUUUUUAGGUUAUUUCUCUAUGUUUAGUAUUAGAACAUCCUGAUGUAUCAUUCCUAUAUAUAUCUCUGAUGAUUUCUUUAGAAUAGAUUACCUUGACAGUGUUGCAUUGUUUAGAGUUAUAUUCUUAAUAAAUAUUUCCUUCCUCUUAAAGGACAAAAGAUUGUUUAAAAGAAAUUGCAGGGGCUGACAGGGCAGAGAAAGUGACUCAUUCAGUACUUCGGAAAGGAGUUCCUCCUUUAACAUACAUUGGAGUGUAUUUAAUUCUCAUAAAAAUUCUAUAAGAUAGGUGUUACUAUGAUGGCUAUAUUUCAAGUGUGGAUCACGAGGUCAGAGGUUCAAGAUCAGCUUGGCCAAUAGGGUGAUACCCCAUCUCUACUAAAAAAUACAAAAAUUAGCUGAGCGUGGUGGCACGUGCCUGUAGUCCCUGCUACUCAGGAGGCUGAGGCAGGAGAAGCGCUUGAACCAGGGAGGUGCAGGUUGCAAUGAGCUGAGAUUGCACCACUGCACUCUAGCCUGGGCAACAGAGUAAGACUCCAUCUCAAAAAAAAAGAAGUGACACCACUGGUCAAAAUACAAAGCUAGUAAGUAGCAGGGGCAUAAUUCUUACCCAGGUAGUCUGAACAUACUUUUUUUCAGUACUAGCCCUACGUCUUUUCUAGUUUACAGGCAAUAUCUAGUUCUAGGUUCAUUCUGUUUGUUCAGAUGUUCACCAUGUGAAAAGGCUAGUACAUUUGUAAACAUCUCUUAUGUGAUGCCUGUUACUGCAUAUGUUGGUAUAGAAAUGAGAAAAGAAUGUACAAACCGCUUAGGAGAAAUUAAGUUAUUAGACUGCUAUUGGUAUUAAAUGACAAGAGCUAUCCAUUAUCAGAGCUUUAAGUUACCAUUAGCAACAACCUUUAACAUCCUCUAAUUAGUUGUAAAUCAUAGGUGGAUGGAUAUAUCUUAAAGGAACCUGUGGCCUACAAAAGAGCUAUCAUGUGUGCCAAAGGAAUAAUUAAAUAUUUUUCAUAAUUCAACAAAGAUGAAAAGUAAAGUGUAAUUAAGUUUCUUUCCCAGGAGACAGAGAGAAUUAUCAAAUAACCUUGUGACCAGUACCCUUGUUAGGAAACAUUACAUCUAAAUACAGCUAACCAUUAUGCUUGAUAUUGCUCAUCUAGAAAUCCAGUAAAAUAACUUGAUCCUGUUAUCAGAAUGCAAAUCCGUAAUACCACUGAAGCCAAUCAAACACUUUCCUGUUACACAGGAAUUGGGUGUGGGGAAACAACCUUCAUGUCUUUAAAUCCUUUUUCUAGGAGUAGUGGAACAAAUGAUGCCCCAUCUCUGCUUUCAUGAAAAUUUGACUUGCUAUGUAACUAUAGCCUAUUAAGACAAAACCUAUUCAUGCCAGAAAUGAAUAGUUAUAAAUUAUGAACUUUUAAUUAUCACUAGUAAUAGACACCGGAGGACUAGAUAGCAAAGGCUCAGGAAACACUUGUUGGGAAAUCACAAUAUACAUACACAGUAGGUAAUACAAAAGUAGAGGACAGAACAUCAGAUGUGCUUCAAAGAACUUGAAUGUUAGUUGGGGAGACGAGUUAUGUGAUGUUGGAUAAAAUGAUAAUAUAUUUCCUUUAAUUGUUACCUAGGUGGAAAACCAGGGCCUCCAAGUUCAGGGGAAGGAGAAUCACUUUGGACUUUACCAGUUAGGACUCCACUUUCAGAGGAGAUAGAAUUUAGGCCAGUCAGUGAAGAAUGGAAAGAAAGAGACAUAGCAUUUUAGCAAGAGGGAAUUAUACAGGAUAAUUCAAAAGGCAUUUAUAUUUGACUAGGAAGUACACAUUUUACUUGGCUAUAGAAAUGUCUAAGCACUAAAAAUUUCCUACCACUCAGAUGAAGUGAUAUGGAGACCAGCUCAGAUGGGAGAUAGAACCCUCACUUUUCCAAAUGACUCAGUACCUCCUUAUGGCUCACUCUUGCCUUUGAGGCACAGGCAUUUUACUGUUUGCGAACUAAAGCUCUGGAUGGCAAAAAAAAAAAAAAGUUACCUAGCUGCUGAUGUAUGAACAGAACUCAUGCUUGAAUAUAGAGAAAAGUUAGUUAAAUUACAUCAUGAUAUCAGUUAAGGUGUCACAAAAGUAGUUACUGGCCCAGGUUCUAUCCCAUUAUCUUAUUGAGAAGAAAUAAUUCCAUCAUUAGAAGUUUUAAUGGAGUUAAGACCAAAUAGUUUUAAUUUUAAGCUUGUAGGACCUGACAAACACACCAGCACAACUAUUAAUCGUAUCUGGCACAGGGUGGUCACAGCUGAUAUUAGAUCAAUUUUUAGUCUAGGAUACUUUAAACCACACCAGAAACACUAAGAAUCCAGAUCCAGGGAAAUAAAAACCCAAGCACCUCCAUGAUUUUGACAAAGAUAAAAUGUCAACAGUCAAGUAGUUUGAGAUAGAGAGUCCUAUCUGCCAUUCCGAGGAGUCAUCACUUACCUUCUUUGGGCUUCAGUUCCUCAUCUGUAAAAUGGGAAAUGAUUCCCACCUACAUAAUGAGGUUUUACAAAGAUUGAAUGAGAUAAAGGUUAUGAAAGGCAUCUAUAAAGGCAGGCGUGGGGUGAGCCAAGAAUUUGCAUCAGAAGGAGGACAGCAGAACACCAAGCACUUGCCCUGGCUGGUAACCAAAGAUCGAUCGUAUCAUUUUAAAAACGAUGUGCAGGAUUCCUUAGUGUUCUUUGGACAUAUUGCUAGUUGUAAUGUAUUUUUUUUUCCUGGCAUGAAAAAGCAAAAGAAAAUGUUAUAAGUUACAAUCUUAAUAACAUGCAUAGAUGUGUCAGAAUUACAAAUUUCUUUAUUAUGUAUUUUUUCUGUUAGUGUAGAUGUUGACUUGAUACAAUAUAAUACCUAUAUCUUGGGGUGCUUGAGUAGUCAUUGCACUGCUUGAUCCUCACAGCAAUCCUCUGGUCUCAGUUUUCUUUUCUGAUAUGGUGAUGCUAAUUCCUACCUUACUGGGUUAUUGUAAGUAUUAAAUGAGAUUGUUCUGGAAACUGCUUAGCACAGUGAUUGGCAUGUCUAUAUUAGUUUAAAUAUUGAUCAUUUUCCGUUUCCCAGUCACUUUAUAGUCUUUACUUCUGUCUAUCUGUAUGUAUGUAUUUAGUUUUUUAUAAAUGUAAGCAUUCAUAUAUAUAAAACUACAAUUGUGUAUAAAGAUUAUAACUGAAUGCAUUUAUGUAUAACUUACAAUAGUUAAGUAAUAAAUUGUUAUAAAAUACAUUAUAAGCAAUAUGUAACAGAGUACAUACAUACAUCAUAUAUAUAGUUAUGCAUACAUAACUAUAUAAAAAUGCAUGCCUACAAAUGAAACAUUCCAGCAUGAAUUAUAUAUUUACAAACAGUUGCACAAAAGGAGAGUCUAGCUCAUCAUGGGGAAAGAGUGUGGGAACAUUUCAGUCUAUCCUAAGGCAGUGUUGUAUGUUCUACCAUAUUUCAUUUCAUCAUUAUGGCUGUGUCGGUGGUCAUUUGUUAUCCUCCAGUAUAUCCCUCGCUACCCAUCAGUAAUUAGACAUGGUCUUGCUGUCAUCUCCAACUUUAUCUCAUACCGGAUUAGGCUUAAAGGUCAACACAUUCAUUCUGUUACCCUUCUCGGUUCCUUGAAAGAACUUGUGUACCUAUUUUUAAAUAUUCGCUUUAAAUUUACUUUAUCUAUGGAAGGGCAGCUCAGUAUCACUUAAACAUAAUUUUAGAUGACCAGGUACAACUAAGGAAAAUUGCACCUUAUCAUUUACCAGUAUGGCCCUCCUUUCAUUGUAUUUUUAGAAACAAGAACAAGAAAUAGAUCAAGAUAUCCCUCAUGUUUCCAGUGUGUGGUAUGUCAUAAGGGUGAAUCCCAGACAGUGCUAAAAACCCCAGAAAAUUGCAAGCAAGACUCAGUCUGUGAGUUAAGAAGUAGGUCGCAGGGGUGUGGAGCUUAAAAAUGGAAAAUGUAAAAACUAGCUAUUACUCAAAGCAAGAAUAUUUGUAAGGCAGGAGAUUUCUAGUAAUUUUGCCAAAGAGCCUCUUUGAUAAUGGCUUAUUUUAAACAACCUGUCAUGGCCUAGCUAUAGAUCUAUAGCAGGCAUUUUUUAACUUUAGCAUGCCAGCAGUUAAUUAGAGGAGCUAGUUAAAAAUGGAAGUUCCCAGGCUCUACCCCCUUAAACUGCCGUUUUGCACUGAGAACAUAAGAAGUCCAUGGUCCAUGGACUGCCCUUUCAAAACCGCUGCUCUGGAGCCCAGAUCCCCAGAAAUAACUUACAGCUGAUAGAGCUCUAAAACAAUUUUGAAUUCAGUUUCUGAUAUUCAAAGUUAGAUACAUUAUAAAAUUUAUAAAAUCAUUUAUAAAUUUCUGUCAUUUCUAAAAUAUUUUUGUAUCUUUAUCAUCUUCUUUAUCAGAUAUACAAUAUCAGGACAUGUAACUUGUUCAUGUUACAGAUUGCCAUGAAAAUAGUGAGAAUAAGAAAAGAAGCACAAGUAUCUUUUUUCAGGAAUAAAGAAGAAACAACUAUAAACACCAGGGAAAUACAAAAAGUUGUAUAACAAAGUCGUGUAUAAUAAAGAUGCAACUAAC